GACGAACGCUGGCGGCGUGCCUAAUACAUGCAAGUCGAGCGGACCUCUUCGGAGGUCAGCGGCGGACGGGUGAGUAACACGUGGGCAACCUGCCUGUAAGACUGGGAUAACACCGGGAAACCGGUGCUAAUACCGGAUAAUCCUUUCCCUCUCAUGAGGGGGAGUUGAAAGACGGUUUCGGCUGUCACUUACAGAUGGGCCCGCGGCGCAUUAGCUAGUUGGUGAGGUAACGGCUCACCAAGGCGACGAUGCGUAGCCGACCUGAGAGGGUGAUCGGCCACACUGGGACUGAGACACGGCCCAGACUCCUACGGGAGGCAGCAGUAGGGAAUCUUCCGCAAUGGACGAAAGUCUGACGGAGCAACGCCGCGUGAACGAUGAAGGCUUUCGGGUCGUAAAGUUCUGUUGUUAGGGAAGAACAAGUACCGGAGUAACUGCCGGUACCUUGACGGUACCUAACCAGAAAGCCACGGCUAACUAC
Molecule: ribosomal RNA, 481 nt
Filed under: uncultured Bacillota bacterium
Lineage: Bacteria; Bacillati; Bacillota
Description: bacterial SSU rRNA
Rfam family: Bacterial small subunit ribosomal RNA
Source: RNAcentral